Molecule: ribosomal RNA, 253 nt
Filed under: uncultured bacterium
Lineage: Bacteria
Description: partial 16S ribosomal RNA
Rfam family: Bacterial small subunit ribosomal RNA
Source: RNAcentral
UACGUAGGGUGCAGGCGUUAAUCGGAAUUACUGGGCGUAAAGCGUGCGCAGGCGGUUUGCUAAGACAGGUGUGAAAUCCCCGGGCUUAACCUGGGAACUGCGCUUGUAACUGGCAAGCUUGAGUGUGGCAGAGGGGGGUGGAAUUCCCGGUGUAGCAGUGAAAUGCGCAGAGAUCGGGAGGAACACCGGUGGCGAAGGCGGGUCUCUGGGCCGUAACUGACGCUGAGGAGCGAAAGCGUGGGGAGCGAACAGG